This 653-nucleotide ribosomal RNA is filed under the name uncultured Bacteroidales bacterium. RNAcentral's name for it is "bacterial SSU rRNA". It matches the Rfam family "Bacterial small subunit ribosomal RNA", at positions 75 to 727 of the family's 1533-position model. The record is from RNAcentral. Lineage: Bacteria; Pseudomonadati; Bacteroidota; Bacteroidia; Bacteroidales.
CUUGCUUUGAUGGAUGGCGACCGGCGCACGGGUGAGUAACACGUAUCCAACCUGCCGACAACACUGGGAUAGCCUUUCGAAAGAAAGAUUAAUACCGGAUGGCAUAGUCUUCCCGCAUGGGAUGACUAUUAAAGAAUUUCGGUUGUCGAUGGGGAUGCGUUCCAUUAGGCAGUUGGCGGGGUAACGGCCCACCAAACCAACGAUGGAUAGGGGUUCUGAGAGGAAGGUCCCCCACAUUGGAACUGAGACACGGUCCAAACUCCUACGGGAGGCAGCAGUGAGGAAUAUUGGUCAAUGGACGAGAGUCUGAACCAGCCAAGUAGCGUGAAGGAUGACUGCCCCAUGGGUUGUAAACUUCUUUUAUACGGGAAUAAAGUGAGCCACGUGUGGCUUUUUGUAUGUACCGUAUGAAUAAGGAUCGGCUAACUCCGUGCCAGCAGCCGCGGUAAUACGGAGGAUCCGAGCGUUAUCCGGAUUUAUUGGGUUUAAAGGGAGCGUAGGCGGGUUGUUAAGUCAGUUGUGAAAGUUUGCGGCUCAACCGUAAAAUUGCAGUUGAUACUGGCGACCUUGAGUGCAACAGAGGUAGGCGGAAUUCGUGGUGUAGCGGUGAAAUGCUUAGAUAUCACGAAGAACUCCGAUUGCGAAGGCAGCUU